CAGUAGCCGCGGUAAAACGUAGGGUGCAAGCGUUAAUCGGAAUUACUGGGCGUAAAGCGUGCGCAGGCGGUUUGUUAAGACAGAUGUGAAAUCCCCGGGCUCAACCUGGGAACUGCAUUUGUGACUGGCAGGCUAGAGUAUGGCAGAGGGGGGUGGAAUUCCGCGUGUAGCAGUGAAAUGCGUAGAUAUGCGGAGGAACACCGAUGGCGAAGGCAGCCCCCUGGGCCAAUACUGACGCUCAUGCACGAAAGCGUGGGGAGCAAACAGGAUUAGAGACCCCCGUAGUCCAUGUCUCUUAUAA
RNAcentral lists this ribosomal RNA (301 nucleotides) under uncultured bacterium. RNAcentral's name for it is "partial 16S ribosomal RNA". It matches the Rfam family "Bacterial small subunit ribosomal RNA", at positions 509 to 809 of the family's 1533-position model. The record is from RNAcentral.